AGAGUUUGAUCCUGGCUCAGAUUGAACGCUGGCGGCAUGCUUUACACAUGCAAGUCGAGCGGCAGCGCGGGACUCAGGCAACUGAGCCCUGGCGGCGAGCGGCGAACGGGUGAGUAAUACAUCGGAACGUGUCCCGUAGUGGGGGAUAGCUCGGCGAAAGCCGGAUUAAUACCGCAUAUGCUCUACGGAGGAAAGCGGGGGAUCCGCAAGGACCUCGCGCUAUGGGAGCGGCCGAUGUCCGAUUAGCUUGUUGGUGGGGUAACGGCUCACCAAGGCGACGAUCGGUAGCUGGUCUGAGAGGAUGAUCAGCCACACUGGGACUGAGACACGGCCCAGACUCCUACGGGAGGCAGCAGUGGGGAAUUUUGGACAAUGGGGGAAACCCUGAUCCAGCCAUGCCGCGUGAGUGAAGAAGGCCUUCGGGUUGUAAAGCUCUUUUGGCCGGAAAGAAAAGGCCACGGAUAACACCCGUGGUUCUGACGUACCGGCAGAAUAGGCCCCGAC
RNAcentral lists this ribosomal RNA (504 nucleotides) under uncultured soil bacterium. RNAcentral's name for it is "bacterial SSU rRNA". It matches the Rfam family "Bacterial small subunit ribosomal RNA", at positions 8 to 497 of the family's 1533-position model. The record is from RNAcentral.